AGGUAUUGACUGUUCGGAAUGGUCUGGACUGAUCUGAAGGACCAAAAACCAUGAUUCAACUGCAAUAAAAGAUGCAACUUCAGGCACCAACUUCAGCUACUAAAGUGGAGUUUCCCUAACACAAAAUAGCGUUCGCAUCCAAACUCAGGAUUGAAAUCUUUGGAAAAAGCAAGAAUGAAGCGACAACACUAACUAACAUACUCACAGGGAAACAAGAUUGUUCCAAUCCAAAAAUGACAAUGAUUUUCAAGAAUUGA
This is a long non-coding RNA of Perca flavescens (yellow perch), 257 nucleotides long. RefSeq lists it as uncharacterized. The record is from RefSeq and is a predicted model, not a curated record. The transcript has 3 exons. NCBI's taxonomy places the organism in Eukaryota, Metazoa, Chordata, Actinopteri, Perciformes, Percidae.